GUUAGUUAUUUUAAUUUUGAAAAAUAAAAUAUAUAUAAACUAUAGGCUUAGGUAAAAUUCCAGUAUUGGGGCGGAUUUUUUUCCAGUGACCAGGAGCGGCAUUAAGUUUAAAUCCGGCGCUACAAUGCUAAGAGUCCACUGGAGUUUGUAAAGACCACAACACGGCUGACGUCACCCACUACGAGAAUGAACAUCCAAGUCUCUCCUAGUGCAGUCUAACAGAUUCCUUUGGGCUAAUGUGUACGAGCAGUAGUAUUAUGGGGCACAGGAAUCUGAACUUUCAAUGAAGCUGUUGCAUUUGUGCCUACUAAUGAUCCCCCGGUAGUCGAAAUUAGACAAUAAUUAAUUGAAGUUAUACUUAUACUUAUAAGUUUGUGUUGUAUUAUGAUUGUAUUUUCAAAGAUUAUUAUACUUCUAUAAUCACAGAUUUCGCUAAGACUAUAUAAAUACACCUUAGACAAAUAUUUAAUCUAUCUUCAAUUGACCACAGACUAUAAGCAAUAAGAAAAGUUUGACAAUUAGCAAAUGUCAUGCAUAGGUACGUGUGUGUGCUAAAUACAUGGUAAUGUGUGUAAUGUU
Molecule: long non-coding RNA, 579 nt
Organism: Bombyx mori (domestic silkworm)
Lineage: Eukaryota; Metazoa; Arthropoda; Insecta; Lepidoptera; Bombycidae
Exons: 3
Source: RefSeq, a predicted model, not a curated record